RNAcentral lists this ribosomal RNA (613 nucleotides) under Escherichia coli. Its description in RNAcentral is "bacterial SSU rRNA". It matches the Rfam family "Bacterial small subunit ribosomal RNA", at positions 1 to 603 of the family's 1533-position model. The record is from RNAcentral. Lineage: Bacteria; Pseudomonadati; Pseudomonadota; Gammaproteobacteria; Enterobacterales; Enterobacteriaceae.
AAAUUGAAGAGUUUGAUCAUGGCUCAGAUUGAACGCUGGCGGCAGGCCUAACACAUGCAAGUCGAACGGUAACAGGAAUCAGCUUGCUGAUUCGCUGACGAGUGGCGGACGGGUGAGUAAUGUCUGGGAAACUGCCUGAUGGAGGGGGAUAACUACUGGAAACGGUAGCUAAUACCGCAUAAUGUCGCAAGACCAAAGAGGGGGACCUUCGGGCCUCUUGCCAUCGGAUGUGCCCAGAUGGGAUUAGCUAGUAGGUGGGGUAACGGCUCACCUAGGCGACGAUCCCUAGCUGGUCUGAGAGGAUGACCAGCCACACUGGAACUGAGACACGGUCCAGACUCCUACGGGAGGCAGCAGUGGGGAAUAUUGCACAAUGGGCGCAAGCCUGAUGCAGCCAUGCCGCGUGUAUGAAGAAGGCCUUCGGGUUGUAAAGUACUUUCAGCGGGGAGGAAGGGAGUAAAGUUAAUACCUUUACUCAUUGACGUUACCCGCAGAAGAAGCACCGGCUAACUCCGUGCCAGCAGCCGCGGUAAUACGGAGGGUGCAAGCGUUAAUCGGAAUUACUGGGCGUAAAGCGCACGCAGGCGGUUUGUUAAGUCAGAUGUGAAAUCCC